UAGGGAAUCUUCCACAAUGGACGAAAGUCUGAUGGAGCAACGCCGCGUGAGCGAAGAAGGGUUUCGGCUCGUAAAACUCUGUUGUUAAAGAAGAACAUAUCUGAGAGUAACUGUUCAGGUAUUGACGGUAUUUAACCAGAAAGCCACGGCUAACUACGUGCCAG
This 164-nucleotide ribosomal RNA is filed under the name uncultured bacterium. Its description in RNAcentral is "partial 16S rRNA". It matches the Rfam family "Bacterial small subunit ribosomal RNA", at positions 355 to 511 of the family's 1533-position model. The record is from RNAcentral.